Long non-coding RNA from Hemibagrus wyckioides, 181 nucleotides. RefSeq lists it as uncharacterized. The transcript is spliced from 3 exons. The record is from RefSeq and is a predicted model, not a curated record. NCBI's taxonomy places the organism in Eukaryota, Metazoa, Chordata, Actinopteri, Siluriformes, Bagridae.
GAAAGAGCAGAAAGAGACACUCAGUGUGUUCCAACGCCUGGAGAUGACACAUACACAGCGCUGAACCUCAUGACUGUGUCCCCAGAAUAUGACACACUGCAAAAUAUUAAAAGCUCUGCCAGUGACACUUACACCACCCUGAACCCUGCAACCAUGUGCUCUGAUUAUGAUACACUGAGGG